Molecule: transfer RNA, 67 nt
Filed under: Discolomatidae sp. 1 ACP-2013
Lineage: Eukaryota; Metazoa; Arthropoda; Insecta; Coleoptera; Discolomatidae
Description: tRNA-Ser
Source: RNAcentral
AGAAAUAAGUAAUACAAAAAUAAGCUUCUAACUUAAUUUUUAAGCGGUGAAUUUCCGUUUUUAUUUC